UACGGGGGGGGCAAGCGUUGUUCGGAAUUACUGGGCGUAAAGGGCUCGUAGGCGGCCAACUAAGUCAAACGUGAAAUCCCUCGGCUUAACCGGGGAACUGCGCUUGAUACUGGAUGGCUUGAGAUUGGGAGAGGGAUGCGGAAUUCCAGGUGUAGCGGUGAAAUGCGUAGAUAUUGGAAAGAACACCGAUGGCGAAGGCACUCUACUGGGCUAUUACUGACACUCAGAGACGAAAGCUAGGGGAGCAAAUGGG
This 253-nucleotide ribosomal RNA is filed under the name uncultured bacterium. Its description in RNAcentral is "partial 16S ribosomal RNA". It matches the Rfam family "Bacterial small subunit ribosomal RNA", at positions 524 to 776 of the family's 1533-position model. The record is from RNAcentral.